GACGGAGGGUGCAAGCGUUAUUCGGAAUCAUUGGGCGUAAAGGGCGUGUAGGCGGCCGGUUAAGUCAGGCGUGAAAGCCCAGGGCUCAACCCUGGAAGUGCGCUUGAUACUGGCUGGCUUGAGUUCGGGAGAGGGAAGCGGAAUUCCGGGUGUAGAGGUGAAAUUCGUAGAUAUCCGGAGGAACACCGGUGGCGAAGGCGGCUUCCUGGACCGAAAUUGACGCUGAGACGCGAAAGCGUGGGGAGCAAACAGG
Molecule: ribosomal RNA, 253 nt
Filed under: uncultured bacterium
Lineage: Bacteria
Description: partial 16S ribosomal RNA
Rfam family: Bacterial small subunit ribosomal RNA
Source: RNAcentral